AGCAGCCGCGGUAAUUCCAGCUCCAAUAGCGUAUAUUAAAGUUGUUGCAGUUAAAAAGCUCGUAGUUGAAUUUCGAGAUCAAUUUGUUGGUCGUGCCUCGGUACGCACUGGCAAUUUUGAUUUCUCCCUUCUGAAGAACCAUUAUGUCAUUAAUUUGGUGUCAUGGGGAAUCAGGACCGUUACUUUGAAAAAAUUAGAGUGUUUAAAGCAGGCUCGCGCUUGAAUACAUUAGCAUGGAAUAAUGAAAUAGGACGUUUGAUUCUAUUUUGUUGGUUUCUAGGAUCGACGUAAUGAUUAAUAGGGAUAGUUGGGGGCAUUAGUAUUCAAUUGUCAGAGGUGAAAUUCUUGGAUUUAUUGAAGACUAACUACUGCGAAAGCAUUUGCCAAGGAUGUUUUCAUUAAUCAAGAACGAAAGUUAGGGGACCGAAGACGAUCAGAUACCGUCGUAGUCUUAACCAUAAACUAUGCCGACUAGGGAUCGGAUGAUGUUAAUUUUUAAUGUACUCAUUCGGCGCCUUAA
This 520-nucleotide ribosomal RNA is filed under the name uncultured Glomus. RNAcentral describes it as "SSU rRNA". It matches the Rfam family "Eukaryotic small subunit ribosomal RNA", at positions 569 to 1091 of the family's 1831-position model. The record is from RNAcentral. Lineage: Eukaryota; Fungi; Glomeromycota; Glomeromycetes; Glomerales; Glomeraceae.